This is a non-coding RNA of Treponema sp. GWC1_61_84, 172 nucleotides long. NCBI's taxonomy places the organism in Bacteria, Pseudomonadati, Spirochaetota, Spirochaetia, Treponematales, Treponemataceae. The record is from Rfam.
UCCAUUGCGAGAUGGAAUCUGAAGGAAGGUGAAGGCAAAGCGCUGGCCUGACGUACAGAAAUCACAUACGAGGCACAGAGAGAGGAUGAGAAGGCAUAAAUCUUCAAAAUCCGAUACUUAUCCGGAAUCUCUUUGUGUAUAUGUGGCGGGCAUAAGCGUGAAAGUGGUGCGC